This 443-nucleotide ribosomal RNA is filed under the name uncultured bacterium. Its description in RNAcentral is "bacterial SSU rRNA". It matches the Rfam family "Bacterial small subunit ribosomal RNA", at positions 338 to 795 of the family's 1533-position model. The record is from RNAcentral.
CCUACGGGAGGCAGCAGUGGGGAAUAUUGCAUAAUGGGCGAAACCCUGAUGCAGUGACGCCGCGUGAAGGAAGAAGGUCUUUGGAUCGUAAACUUCUAUCAGCAGGGAAGAAGGAAGUGACAGUACCUGUCUAAGAAGCCCCGGCUAACUACGUGCCAGCAGCCGCGGUAAUACGUAGGGGGCAAGCGUUAUCCGGAAUCACCGGGCGUAAAGGGUGCGUAGGCGGAAGGUCAACUCAGUUGUGAAAGCGCGGGGUUAAACCUCGGGAUUGCAUUUUAAACAGUCUUAUUAUGUUGCGGAAGAGGAAAGCCUUAUUGGUAGGGUAGCAGUGAUAUGCGUAGAGACUAGGAAGAACACCUGCGGAGACGGCAGCAUAAUUAACUGAAUCUGAAGCAGAUGCACGAAAGCGUUCGAUGCGUACAAGAUUAGGUACCCUGGUAGUC